GACGAACGCUGGCGGCGUGCUUAACACAUGCAAGUCGAACGAAGAGCGAUGGAAGCUUGCUUCUUUCAAUCUUAGUGGCGAACGGGUGAGUAACGCGUAAUCAACCUGCCCUUCAGAGGGGGACAACAGUUGGAAACGACUGCUAAUACCGCAUACGAUCUAAACUCGGCAUCGAGGAUAGAUGAAAGGUGGCCUCUACAUGUAAGCUAUCACUGAAGGAGGGGAUUGCGUCGGAUUAGCUAGUUGGAGGGGGAACGGCCCACCCAGGCGGUGGUCAGUAGCCGGUCUGGGAAGAUGGACGGCCACAUUGGGACUGAGACACGGCCCAGACUCCUACGGGAGGCAGCAGUGGGGAAACUUCCGACAUAGAGGGAAGUCUGACGGAGCCACGACGCGUGAGUGAUGACGGCCGUCGGGUUGUAAAGCUCUGUUAAUCGGGACGAAAGGCCUUCUUGCGAAUAGUGAGAAGGAUUGACGGUACCGGAAUAGAAAGCCACGGCUAACUACGUG
This 510-nucleotide ribosomal RNA is filed under the name uncultured bacterium. Its description in RNAcentral is "partial 16S ribosomal RNA". It matches the Rfam family "Bacterial small subunit ribosomal RNA", at positions 28 to 507 of the family's 1533-position model. The record is from RNAcentral.